Pelobates cultripes (western spadefoot toad) is the source of this 312-nucleotide non-coding RNA. The record is from the annotation of a GenBank genome assembly. NCBI's taxonomy places the organism in Eukaryota, Metazoa, Chordata, Amphibia, Anura, Pelobatidae.
GGCAUUUAUACAAAAAUAAAAUAAACACCAAGCUUUAAAGGAACACUAUAGUCCCCUAAACAACUAGUUUGAUGCAGCAGUUUUAGUGUAUAUAGAUCAUGCUUAUCAUGUUUCACUGCUUAAUUCUCUGCCUUUUAGGAGUUAAAUCACUUUGUUUCUGUUUAUACAGCCCUUAGCCACACCUCCUUGACUCUGACACAGCCUGCAUGAAAAUAAAAACUGGUUUCACUUUCAAUCUUGUAUCUUACCUUAAACCAUUUUAUCGCUUGCUCUGUAAAUUAAACUUUAAUCACAUACCAGAGGCUCUCGCAG